Paramuricea clavata is the source of this 1170-nucleotide non-coding RNA. NCBI's taxonomy places the organism in Eukaryota, Metazoa, Cnidaria, Anthozoa, Malacalcyonacea, Plexauridae. The record is from the annotation of a GenBank genome assembly.
GUUUUAAAUCUUCAUUACAGACUCCAAAGGACAAACUCAAGUGCAUUCAACGUUGUUGUACAACAAUUAUGAGCCUGCUAGGUAUGUCCAGCGGCGAUGCAGUGGGUGCUGACGCGUUCACCCCAGUCCUGAUAUACGUGGUGAUGCACGCGAACCCCAGGGGACUGUUAACGACCAUAGAUUUCAUUAAUAAUUACCUGAACGAAACACUGAGCGGAGAACAGUAUUAUUGCUGGAUGCAGUUCUGUUCCGCCAUUCAGUUCAUCAAAAUACUGCUGGAGGAGAACAAGUCGAUGUUGAGUCAGUUAUAAUCACACCCGUAAAUAAAUUAAGAGACACUUCUACCCAAAUGACGAAAAUGGGUUUCACAUGGUGGUUGAAAUACAGGUAAUGGAAACAAUACGAAGCAUUGACUUGAUCCUAUAACUGUCAGUACCUCUGAGUUUGGCUACCAAUUUUAAGGUUACAGAACACCUUUGAGUGUUAAUUUUGCCUAAAAUUUUUUUAUUGGUUUCGAUGAAAGUAUUAGACUAGUUCUACUAUCUGACCAAGUUUGAACGAAAAAUGUUGAAAACUCGCAGAGUUAUUUAGUAAAAUACAUUUCGCUGCAAUAAGAAAAACAUUGAAAAUGUAAUAUUCAAAUUCAAUUUUCUCACGAAAAAUUUUACGGUAAUUACUGAUUUUCAAACGAGUUAUGCUCCUGCGGGUUUUAACCAAUUUUCAAAUUUUCACAGGACAUAGCUCAAUACGUCAGUUUCAAAAUUGUGUUCGGCUUUUAUUUAAUUUUGGAUAUUUUAAAAAUAAAGAGCAAUUCACUCAAACAAUUCAGAAAUAUAUUGCAGUCGUCAAAGAAAUCGCCAUAUCAGCGGAAUGACGAAAUAAACAAAAAUUUCCGAACACAAUUUUUUAGAACAACUAUUUUACUGUAUAAAAAUGAUAUUUUCAUAAAUAUAACUUAAAACCAGCAGGAGCACAACUCAAAAGCGUAAAGGUACCGCGAUUUAAGAUUUUCCUGAAUAACUCUUACAUUAUUUUAUUGUUUGUUAAUUUUACAACUUUACCAUAUUUUGCAUGCACUGGAGAACAUUUGGUGAAAAUUUGAUGAAAAUCGGACUGAUAUUGAGCGCGCAGUAGCGAUUUUCCGCAAAACGCCAAAAGGGUGUCCUGUAA